UCUGCCGCCAAGCAGGAGUGUUUAGUCACUGUUAUGUUCAGAGGCGGCUUUACCUAUCGUGCUGGGUGUGCGGUGCACACAGGUGCCGAGGGCCGCUCGCGACCAAACAACCUGCGCCCGUGCUAAGGCUGGCGAGCUGCUUCUUUACUUUACACAAUAACUUUUCAUUUAAUAUUAUAAAAUUUAUUAAAGAUUACAUUGUCUCUUAGGAUGCGCAAAGGAAUUGAUUGCACACGGUCGGCACAUGAGCUGAUGGUGUGGGGUGGGGUCUAAUAGAAAGUCGACUGACGAGAAAUGAUUACCGCUCGACAGUCGACACAACUUUAAAUAGCAGUCUGUUGGAGCCAGAUAUACACAGGCUAAUUUUGGAACGCGACUUACGUUAGCUACUAUGGCGGGUUUUAACACCUUGUGUACAGUGCUUGCUAUACAGGCAGAUAUAGAUCAUAGCCUACCGCCAGCAACUUGUAUGUCUAACAAGUAUUAAUAUGCUGCUGUUAACCUUAUCAAAAACUAGUUCUUCAUACAGUUGUAAUAGAGAUCUACAUACCUUCCCAGGAUGACGUCGCCAUGUGUAACGACACGCGCGGGACACUUUUUGCCCUUACAGUGUCCGUCUACACACUGCCAUGUGCGCUGGCCAUUCUUCCUUGCAGAAUAUCUCAGGUUGUACACAUAUCGAUUGAGGAUAAGCUGCAAAUUGCCAUGAUUCGACAGACUGUAUUGGACCGAAGGCUCUUUAAAUGAAAAAGUUGAAAGCUUAAUAGGACCUGAAACAAGAUAUUAAUAUAAUGCUUGAAAUACUAAGUAGAUGUUAAUAAAACUAAGAUAGACAAAACCUAGAUUAAAUGUUUAAUAUAUAACACAUGAACAAAGUGUUUUUUAUAUUACUAGACUUUAAGAAGUGCCUAGAACAUUACUCUUAGUUGUAAUAAAGUUAAAGUAAUUUAGUA
Molecule: long non-coding RNA, 953 nt
Organism: Manduca sexta (tobacco hornworm)
Lineage: Eukaryota; Metazoa; Arthropoda; Insecta; Lepidoptera; Sphingidae
Exons: 2
Source: RefSeq, a predicted model, not a curated record